UACGGGGGGGGCAAGCGUUGUUCGGAAUUACUGGGCGUAAAGGGCUCGUAGGCGGCCAACUAAGUCCGACGUGAAAUCCCCAGGCUUAACCUGGGAACUGCGUCGGAUACUGGACGGCUUGAAUUCGGGAGAGGGAUGCAGAAUUCCAGGUGUAGCGGUGAAAUGCGUAGAUAUCUGGAGGAAUACCGGUGGCGAAGGCGGCAUCCUGGACCGACAUUGACGCUGAGGAGCGAAAGCUAGGGGAGCAAACGGG
This 253-nucleotide ribosomal RNA is filed under the name uncultured bacterium. RNAcentral describes it as "partial 16S ribosomal RNA". It matches the Rfam family "Bacterial small subunit ribosomal RNA", at positions 524 to 776 of the family's 1533-position model. The record is from RNAcentral.